Molecule: ribosomal RNA, 447 nt
Filed under: uncultured bacterium
Lineage: Bacteria
Description: partial 16S ribosomal RNA
Rfam family: Bacterial small subunit ribosomal RNA
Source: RNAcentral
AACGAACGCUGGCGGCAGGCUUAACACAUGCAAGUCGAACGCCCCGCAAGGGGAGUGGCAGACGGGUGAGUAACGCGUGGGAAUCUACCCAACUCUACGGAAUAACUCAGGGAAACUUGUGCUAAUACCGUAUACGCCCUUCGGGGGAAAGAUUUAUCGGAGUUGGAUGAGCCCGCGUUGGAUUAGCUAGUUGGUGGGGUAAAGGCCUACCAAGGCGACGAUCCAUAGCUGGUCUGAGAGGAUGAUCAGCCACAUUGGGACUGAGACACGGCCCAAACUCCUACGGGAGGCAGCAGUGGGGGAUAUUGGACAAUGGGCGCAGGCCUGAUCCAGCCAUGCCGCGUGAGUGAUGAAGGCCCUAGGGUUGUAAAGCUCUUUCACCGGUGAAGAUAAUGACGGUAACCGGAGAAGAAGCCCCGGCUAACUUCGUGCCAGCCGCCGCGGUAA